Non-coding RNA from Henosepilachna vigintioctopunctata, 71 nucleotides. The record is from the annotation of a GenBank genome assembly. Lineage: Eukaryota; Metazoa; Arthropoda; Insecta; Coleoptera; Coccinellidae.
GUCUCUAUGGCGUAGUGAAAGCGUGACGGACUCUCACUGGGAAGAUCUGGGUUCGAAUCCCAGGUGAAACA